GGUGUUUGUGUCCAGAUUCCUUCAGGUGAAUUUCCUGCAGAUUCCUCCUUCAGUCUGACCUUCUUGGAUGAUGAUGACUGCAGCAUCACUGUCAUUUCUAAAGCUUCCAUCAGCCUGAAUGGAAACAGAGCACAGCAAGAGGAGGAGCUCCACAACUGAAUAUGAAAGGCUUCAUGUUGGAAGUGAAGAGCUGCUGUGUUCUCUCUAUUGUUCAUUCAGUACAAGUGGAAAUGAUGCAGCUCUGCUUAGUUUGGAUGAUCAUCUUCAUGUUUCACACUGGAUCCUCUGAGGAUUUAGUGAAACCAUUUAAAGAUGUAAUGCUGGCUUUGGAAGGAGACUCUGUGACUCUCUCCUGCAACUAUUCAGGAUCUUUUGACUUCUUCUUCUGGUAUCAACAGAAGUCCAGUUCAUCUCCACAGUUUUUCCUCUCAGAUUAUUCAAAGAAACCAGGUUUUUCUUUUGCACAUGACAAAACAGCAAAGGAGUUUCAUCUGCAGAUCUCCUCUGCUGCAGUGACAGACUCUGCUGUGUACUACUGUGCUGUGAGGCCCACAGUGACAGGAAACACCAAAACUCUGUACAAAAACCUUUGGAGCAAAGACAACAGAAUACUCCACAACGUCCACUAGAGGGAGUCACACACUGUUAAACUUCAGUGGUUUAUGAUCUGAAUUUGUGGUGCUGGUGAUUAAACAAAACAAAACAAUGCAGCAGCAG
Non-coding RNA from Micropterus salmoides (largemouth bass), 717 nucleotides. The record is from the annotation of a RefSeq genome assembly. Lineage: Eukaryota; Metazoa; Chordata; Actinopteri; Centrarchiformes; Centrarchidae.